AUUGAACGCUGGCGGCAGGCCUAACACAUGCAAGUCGAACGGUAACAGGGAUCAGCUUGCUGAUUCGCUGACGAGUGGCGGACGGGUGAGUAAUGUCUGGGAAACUGCCUGAUGGAGGGGGAUAACUACUGGAAACGGUAGCUAAUACCGCAUAACGUCGCAAGACCAAAGAGGGGGACCUUCGGGCCUCUUGCCAUCGGAUGUGCCCAGAUGGGAUUAGCUAGUAGGUGGGGUAACGGCUCACCUAGGCGACGAUCCCUAGCUGGUCUGAGAGGAUGACCAGCCACACUGGAACUGAGACACGGUCCAGACUCCUACGGGAGGCAGCAGUGGGGAAUAUUGCACAAUGGGCGCAAGCCUGAUGCAGCCAUGCCGCGCGUAUGAAGAAGGCCUUCGGGUUGUAAAGUACUUUCAGCGGGGAGGAAGGGAGUAAAGUUAAUACCUUUGCUCAUUGACGUUACCCGCAGAAGAAGCACCGGCUAACUCCGUG
Molecule: ribosomal RNA, 490 nt
Filed under: uncultured bacterium
Lineage: Bacteria
Description: partial 16S ribosomal RNA
Rfam family: Bacterial small subunit ribosomal RNA
Source: RNAcentral